UUGUUUGGAGAGUUUGAUUCUGGCUCAGGACGAACGCUGGCGGCGUGCUUAACACAUGCAAGUCGAACGGUAAGGCCCUUCGGGGUACACGAGUGGCGAACGGGUGAGUAACACGUGGGUAAUCUGCCCUGCACAUCGGGAUAAGCCUGGGAAACUGGGUCUAAUACCGAAUAGGACCACAGGACACAUGUCCUGUGGUGGAAAGCUUUUGCGGUGUGGGAUGGGCCCGCGGCCUAUCAGCUUGUUGGUGGGGUGAUGGCCUACCAAGGCGACGAC
RNAcentral lists this ribosomal RNA (276 nucleotides) under Mycobacterium sp. RNAcentral describes it as "partial 16S ribosomal RNA". It matches the Rfam family "Bacterial small subunit ribosomal RNA", at positions 1 to 280 of the family's 1533-position model. The record is from RNAcentral. Lineage: Bacteria; Bacillati; Actinomycetota; Actinomycetes; Mycobacteriales; Mycobacteriaceae.